Molecule: ribosomal RNA, 260 nt
Filed under: uncultured Pseudomonadales bacterium
Lineage: Bacteria; Pseudomonadati; Pseudomonadota; Gammaproteobacteria; Pseudomonadales
Description: partial 16S ribosomal RNA
Rfam family: Bacterial small subunit ribosomal RNA
Source: RNAcentral
UACAGAGGGUGCGAGCGUUAAUCGGAUUUACUGGGCGUAAAGCGUGCGUAGGCGGCUUUUUAAGUCGGAUGUGAAAUCCCUGAGCUUAACUUAGGAAUUGCAUUCGAUACUGGGAAGCUAGAGUAUGGGAGAGGAUGGUAGAAUUCCAGGUGUAGCGGUGAAAUGCGUAGAGAUCUGGAGGAAUACCGAUGGCGAAGGCAGCCAUCUGGCCUAAUACUGACGCUGAGGUACGAAAGCAUGGGGAGCAAACAGGAUUAGAU